GCAAACUGACAACUUAAUUAGUUGCAGAGAAUCAUUGAUAUAGAUCAGAUCAAGUGGCCUUGAAACCAGCCAUAAUCCCAACAGCAUGAAACCCACGAUUAACAACCAUAGGACCAAACUGCAAACUAAUAGAAGUUCUGGACUACGAAAGUAAAACUCUAAAACAGACUUAACAAACUAAUUCAAACGACGUAGUUUUGUUCUCCCUUAACACACAAGCAAACUAAGUCAAACGACAUAGUUUCAUUCUUUC
Molecule: long non-coding RNA, 253 nt
Filed under: Linum usitatissimum (flax)
Lineage: Eukaryota; Viridiplantae; Streptophyta; Magnoliopsida; Malpighiales; Linaceae
Description: long non-coding RNA (LUSI_LNC004764)
Source: RNAcentral